AGUAUUGUUGGUGUCAGUUGACUGUAGGGCCUAGGUAUUGUUGGUGUCAGUUGACUGUAGGGCCUAGGUAUUGUUGGUGUCAGUUGACUGUAGGGCCUAGGUAUUGUUGGUGUCAGUUGACUGUGGGGCCUAGGUAUUGAUGGUGUCAGUUGACUGUAGGGCCUAGGUAUUGUUGGUGUCAGUUGACUGUGUGUUUGUCAUGUGUUUUGUGCCUGCAAUCUCUCAAAUGUCUUACAUUGUUCUUUGGGAAAUUAACAAAAAGAAAAAUCUCUUUUAUACUUUGAAUAAUGCAUUAUUUCUCUGUCCAUCUUAUGAAUAACGGUUUUGUGGGAAUGUUCAUGUUGCCUUGCAAUAAACAACUGUUUGAACCUUGUA
Molecule: non-coding RNA, 375 nt
Organism: Salvelinus sp. IW2-2015
Lineage: Eukaryota; Metazoa; Chordata; Actinopteri; Salmoniformes; Salmonidae
Source: RefSeq, a predicted model, not a curated record